RNAcentral lists this ribosomal RNA (400 nucleotides) under uncultured bacterium. RNAcentral's name for it is "bacterial SSU rRNA". It matches the Rfam family "Bacterial small subunit ribosomal RNA", at positions 356 to 773 of the family's 1533-position model. The record is from RNAcentral.
GGGGAAUAUUGCGCAAUGGGGGCAACCCUGACGCAGCAACGCCGCGUGAAGGAAGAAGGCCUUCGGGUUGUAAACUUCUUUGAUCGGGGACGAAAAUGACGGUACCCGAGGAACAAGCCACGGCUAACUACGUGCCAGCAGCCGCGGUAAUACGUAGGUGGCAAGCGUUGUCCGGAAUUACUGGGCGUAAAGGGCGUGUAGGCGGGGAGGCAAGUCAGAUGUGAAAUUCCGGGGCUUAACCCCGGCGCUGCAUCUGAAACUGUUUCUCUUGAGUGCUGGAGAGGAAAGUGGAAUUCCCAGUGUAGCGGUGAAAUGCGUAGAGAUUGGGAGGAACACCAGUGGCGAAGGCGGCUUUCUGGACAGUAACUGACGCUGAGGCGCGAAAGCGUGGGGAGCAAAC